This 344-nucleotide ribosomal RNA is filed under the name Gigaspora ramisporophora. RNAcentral describes it as "SSU rRNA". It matches the Rfam family "Eukaryotic small subunit ribosomal RNA", at positions 1447 to 1788 of the family's 1831-position model. Lineage: Eukaryota; Fungi; Glomeromycota; Glomeromycetes; Diversisporales; Gigasporaceae. The record is from RNAcentral.
GAGGCAAUAACAGGUCUGUGAUGCCCUUAGAUGUUCUGGGCUGCACGCGCGCUACACUGAUGAAGUCAUCGAGUACAUUUCCUUUACCGGAAGGUAUGGGUAAUCUUUUGAAACUUCAUCGUGAUGGGGAUAGAGCAUUGCAAUUAUUGCUCUUCAACGAGGAAUCCCUAGUAAGCAUGAGUCAUCAGCUCGUGCUGAUUAUGUCCCUGCCCUUUGUACACACCGCCCGUCGCUACUACCGAUUGAAUGGCUUAGUGAGACCCUCGGAUCGAUGAGUGGAAACCUUCACGGGUAUCCUUUCGUUAAGAAGUUGGUCAAACUUGGUCAUUUAGAGGAAGUAAAAG